This 447-nucleotide ribosomal RNA is filed under the name uncultured bacterium. RNAcentral describes it as "bacterial SSU rRNA". It matches the Rfam family "Bacterial small subunit ribosomal RNA", at positions 335 to 776 of the family's 1533-position model. The record is from RNAcentral.
ACUCCUACGGGAGGCAGCAGUAGGGAAUCUUCCACAAUGGACGAAAGUCUGAUGGAGCAACGCCGCGUGAACGAUGAAGGCUUCGGUCGUAAAGUUCUGUUGUAAGGGAAGAACAAGUGCCGCAGGCAAUGGCGGCACCUUGACGGUACCUUGCGAGAAAGCCACGGCUAACUACGUGCCAGCAGCCGCGGUAAUACGUAGGUGGCAAGCGUUGUCCGGAAUUAUUGGGCGUAAAGCGCGCGCAGGCGGCCUCUUAAGUCUGAUGUGAAAGCCCCGGCUCAACCGGGGAGGGCCGAUUGGAAACUGGGAGGCUUGAGUAUAGGAGAGAAGAGUGGAAUUCCACGUGUAGCGGUGAAAUGCGUAGAGAUGUGGAGGAACACCAGUGGCGAAGGCGACUCUUUGGCCUAUAACUGACGCUGAGGCGCGAAAGCGUGGGGAGCAAACAGG